Molecule: long non-coding RNA, 741 nt
Filed under: Phoenix dactylifera (date palm)
Lineage: Eukaryota; Viridiplantae; Streptophyta; Magnoliopsida; Arecales; Arecaceae
Description: long non-coding RNA (PDAC_LNC001457)
Source: RNAcentral
AUGGUUGGAAAUGGAAAUUUUUUUCUAUGUCGUAUAGUGUUGAUGAUGAUGCGGCAGUGCAAUGAUGGUGGUGCAUGUCAUGAUGUUGAAGUAGCAGGCAUGACAGUGAUGAAGCAAUAAUAAUGGAGAUGGUGGCAUGGUGAUAAAAUUAGUAAUGAUGAUGGUAGGGUUUGGUUGGUGGGUAAUGCAUGAUCCGUCGUUGUGAUGAACAGAAGCAUCUCUUUUCAUGCAAAGCCUAAUAAUAGAUGGCUCUCUGCCAUUAGCAGCUUAGCUGACCUGCUAUAAAGCAGUGCUCUUCUUUAAUCUGAACCAGAUGACUGUACUUGGUUGGGGUGAUGAAGGCCUGCUCUGCGUGGAAGGCAUAUGACAAGCUCUUUGUACAAGGUCAUUGGCCUACUCCGGGCGCAAGCAUCAAUCCUAACACAAAUACCCCUUGAAACCUCCACUUUAUCUCUGUGAUAAUUUCAAAAUCCUGAAAUGCAUCAAUAAGGUUCAAACUAACACUCUCCCUCUAAGAGAGGAGAGUUACAAGAUACCUGAGCUAAGCCUCAAUAGUUUCAAAAUCCCGAAAGGCAUGACAGACUUGAACUGUGUUUUUCUUUUAAGCUGAAGAGUAUAAAUGACCCAGCGCAUCACUAGUUUUUUUUACUGUAGCAGAUCAAACUAUUCUUUAUAGCAUUUUUAAAAAAACUUCUGUGCCAUGAGUUUUGAUUGUUCUAGAUAAUAUAUAUAUAUAUAUAU